UACGUAGGGGGCGAGCGUUGUCCGGAAUUAUUGGGCGUAAAGCGCGCGCAGGCGGUUUUUAAGUUCGUGGUGAAAGACCGGGGCUCAACCCCGGAGCGUCCGCGAAGACUGGAAGACUGGAGUGUCGGAGAGGAGUGCGGAAUACCUGGUGUAGCGGUGGAAUGCGUAGAGAUCAGGUGGAACACCGAUGGCGAAGGCAGCACUCUGGCCGAAUACUGACGCUGGAGGCGACGAAAGCGUGGGGAGCGAACGGG
RNAcentral lists this ribosomal RNA (254 nucleotides) under uncultured bacterium. RNAcentral's name for it is "partial 16S ribosomal RNA". It matches the Rfam family "Bacterial small subunit ribosomal RNA", at positions 524 to 776 of the family's 1533-position model. The record is from RNAcentral.